This 254-nucleotide ribosomal RNA is filed under the name uncultured bacterium. RNAcentral's name for it is "partial 16S ribosomal RNA". It matches the Rfam family "Bacterial small subunit ribosomal RNA", at positions 524 to 776 of the family's 1533-position model. The record is from RNAcentral.
GACGUAGGGCGCGAGCGUUGUCCGGAUUUAUUGGGCGUAAAGAGCUCGUAGGCGGGUUUGUCGCGUCUGCUGUGAAAACUGGAGGCUCAACCUCCAGCCUGCAAUGGGUACGGGCAGACUAGAGUGCGGUAGGGGAGAUUGGAAUUCCUGGUGUAGCGGUGAAAUGCGCAGAUAUCAGGAGGAACACCGAUGGCGAAGGCAGGUCUCUGGGCAUUAACUGACGCUGAGGAGCGAAAGCAUGGGGAGCGAACAGG